Molecule: long non-coding RNA, 3253 nt
Organism: Jaculus jaculus (lesser Egyptian jerboa)
Lineage: Eukaryota; Metazoa; Chordata; Mammalia; Rodentia; Dipodidae
Exons: 3
Source: RefSeq, a predicted model, not a curated record
GCCAGGAACCAGCGCGUAGGCCAGAGCCUCCCCCAGCCCCGCUGAGACAGGAUCGGGGAGGGGGGGACAGAGGACACAAAGUGACCACUCGCACUCGGGGUGCCAGGCUGGCCUUCAGCAGGGCUCCCUGAAGCGCUGCUGACCAGUCUGCACGGGGCCAGGCAAAGACACCGGUCCUUGGACUUGUCUGAGCCUCGAUGAUGCGCCAUCCCUAUGCUGGGCUUCCAGGAUAGGAGUGGAGAGGAGCGUGCAGCCCACUCCUGAGCCUGCAUCAAGGGGACUGCCUUAGGCAGAAAACUCCAGAAAGAGCUCGGGCUGGGGUGAUAAACAUUAGGGAGAAAGUCAGAUAGGACUGAUGCGCAAAGGAGGAAGAAAGAACACCUCCCACCUCAGGCAGGGUCCUGGAGGAACCUGCAGAAAGUCCUGAAGAUGAGGCCUUGGCAUGAGGCGGGCAGUGUGCCAGGGGCAGAGCACUAGGGGUCUUAACGGGCGAGGAGGGGACGUCAGAGCCCCCUCCCCCCGCAGACGUGCGUCCCAGAUCUGCCAGGUGCUCCAAGAACUCACAGGGAGCCACACUCGCCUCCGAGGCCUGGAGGUUCCCGAGUAGCCAGCGCUAACCAGCCCAAGGAAUUGCCUUGCCUAUGCAGACCUGUUCUCUCCAUGCUCUGGGGACACCUCAGCAACAUAAAUGCUAACAUCCCCACCAUGUGGGUGACAUCUGGGUCACUUGUCCAGGUCUCAAAGCCAGUGAGUGGCUAGGAGAAUGCACACUCAUCAAACACCGGGUGGAAGCUCUUGACGCUGGCACGCCACGGAGAAGAACCCCCAGAGUUGAGAGCUCGAUGGGGCAGGGAUGGGAAGCUGGGUCUGGAGGGCUGAGGAAGAGUGUGAGAGGAUUGCAUGCGGGGACAGAACACGUGGAGAGAAAGGUGGAGAACACGCACGGCGCGUAGAACCAGAGCCCUGCGGGCAUCUCUAAGACAUCCCACAGCCCGGCUUCUGGGGACUGGUGCCAUGUCAAAGCGAGGCCUUGGCCUGAGAGGAGCUAUCUCUUCCUUACCCAGCAGUGAUUUCCAGAGAACAGAGCACUCCAGAAUCCAGCACUCAACUCCCCACAUCUGCCAACAAUUCCCAUGACAACCAGUAUUCGGUGAUGUCUUCAUGAAGCACAAGAGGCUUAAGGACUUCAGACAGAGACAGCAACGUGUUCAGAGUCCAGGAGAGUGUGCCAGCUCCAGCCCUAACACGAAGCCUCUGAGUGACUUUGAGAAAAAUCACUUAACCUCUCUCAAAUGAAGCAUGUGAGCUGCCCUUGGGAAUCGCCAACACCAAGUAUAAUGGGCAAGUGGAAGAAGGGAGCAGUGCAAACUGAGCGGGAUUAGAAGACCCUGGAGUUCCUGGUUGCUGGUGUGACGUCAUCUGCCUCAUGCGUCAUUGUGAGGCAGAGCACUUACAGCAGGCUCCGCGCAGCCGUGACUGUUCAGGUGCUGAGAGCACGUGUGCCGCGCAGCUGACGGGGGAGCAUCUGUUCCAGCAAGUCUUCCUGGGACUGGCAUAUUCCAAGUACACAAUCCCACUUCCGGAGAAUUCCACCUGGCUUUUCACUAACAAACCUUUUCCUAUUCUCCCAAAUGAUUUUGUCACCCUUGCCCCUUACUGCUACCCCACAUGCACAUCCCCUCUCUCCAGCCAUGAUGUAAAAGUACAAUGAAAGAGCUUUAAGAACAGUCACCUUAUUUUUGUACCAAAAACUCAAAGUACAUUAGGAUUAUUCAAAAUUCUCAAGCUACUUAGUAGCAAGUCAUUUACUGUAAAAUAUUAGAAGUGAAUUUCUCAGCACAAAUUAUGAUGUACAUGUACAAUGCUGUUUAUUGCAUGUGGUUACUAUAUUUCUAACAUCUUUGCCAAUGUGAAAAAUAAACCUGUGACAGUGUGGUUCUGCCUGUUUUAGGAUCAUAUUAGCAAGAACCACUUUUACUGAACUCCUCCUUGCCAGCCACUCUGCUGGUCUAUGAAGUACUAUCUCCCUUAGAAUAGACCCUUGUUACCCCAUGUGAUCAGUGAAGAAAGGGAGGAAUGGAGGGCUAACGACUCUGCCCAAGUUGCAUUGCUGAAACAGAGCUAGGGUUCACAGGAAGUAAGACUGGCUCCAAGUCUCUCAGGUCUUGGCGCCAGACCAGACAGAACGGUCUCAGAAGUAACCUUGUAAAGCUGGUGGAGGUGACCAUGUAAUCCAGCCCAAUAUUUGAGAGAUUAACCAGGUGUCCAGGCACCUGGAUAGUUAGUAGAUGACUAGAUCACAUCCCUGGCAUCUUUGGCAGAUGUAUUAUAACAAGAACAAAGUUUUAUCUAAUAGCAGAAUGUUCCAGAAACUGAACUCCACACACUGGAUGUACAUUGUAUUAUUAUUCCUAUCAGUCGUGACAGGGGCACAUGCAUGAGAAUGCAGGUGAAUAUGCAUGUGUGUGCAUAACCAAAGGCUGGUGUUAGGGGCCUCCCUCAAUAUCUUUCCCCCUUAUUUUCUGAGACAGUCUCUCACUGAACCUAAAGCUCAUAGAUUCAGCUAAACCACCAGCCAGCAACUUCUGGGAAUCAACCAGUCUCUGUCUCCCAAGCUCUGAGUGACAAGCACAUGCCACCACACCUGGAAUUUUUACUUGAGCACUGGGGAUUCGAACUCAGAACUCCAUACUUACACAACAAGCAGUUUACACAGGGAGUCAUCUUCCAGCCAGGUAACUCUGCUUCACAAAGAUGAAGGUAAGUCAAGGGUGAUGCCAUCACGCAACUCUAAAGCAUAUGACUACUUCCUGGAAAACAGGAGGUAAGGAAAUGGGCCCUGAGCGUAGUGCCAAAGACUGCUCUCCCUCUCGGGCCUGCGCACCCCAUCCAGGGUGGGUGCGAGCACGGGUCUUCCUUCUGUCGCGGUGCGCUUGCUCCUUUCUGUGGCUUAGCACUGGCUGCAGAGUGUCCUCCAAGCCACUUCUGGAAUACUUUACCCCUGGAGCAUGGCCUGGUAGCUUCUUGGCAUGAAUCUAACAGUCUGCAAGAAAAAUCAUCCCCCAGUUUCCGAAUGUGUGUUACUCAAAACAUGUUCCCCAAGAACUAUGCAUAUGCUAUGAAUACUUUCAUGCCUCCUGUUGGAUACUGCAAAACUGGAUAUGUCAAUGAAAAGUUACAGUUGGGAAUUAUUAUAGCAUUGUGAGUAUUAGGUAUUCUCACUAGACUCUGUUAGAGGACUAAAAAAGCUUUA